UACGGAGGGUGCAAGCGUUAUCCGGAUUCACUGGGUUUAAAGGGUGCGUAGGUGGGCAGGUAAGUCAGUGGUGAAAUCUCCGAGCUUAACUCGGAACUGCCGUUGAUACUAUUUGUCUUGAAUAUUGUGGAGGUAAGCGGAAUAUGUCAUGUAGCGGUGAAAUGCUUAGAUAUGACAUAGAACACCAAUUGCGAAGGCAGCUUACUACACAACGAUUGACGCUGAGGCACGAAAGCGUGGGGAUCAAAACAGG
This 253-nucleotide ribosomal RNA is filed under the name uncultured bacterium. RNAcentral describes it as "partial 16S ribosomal RNA". It matches the Rfam family "Bacterial small subunit ribosomal RNA", at positions 524 to 776 of the family's 1533-position model. The record is from RNAcentral.